UCCCCAAUAUCUCAGCAGGUAAAGAAUCUGCCUGCAAUGCAGGAGACACAGGUUCAAUCCCCGGGUUGGGAA
This 72-nucleotide transfer RNA is filed under the name Ovis aries (sheep). It matches the Rfam family "tRNA". From Rfam's summary of the family: Transfer RNA (tRNA) molecules are approximately 80 nucleotides in length. Their secondary structure includes four short double-helical elements and three loops (D, anti-codon, and T loops). Lineage: Eukaryota; Metazoa; Chordata; Mammalia; Artiodactyla; Bovidae. The record is from Rfam by way of RNAcentral.